This 253-nucleotide ribosomal RNA is filed under the name uncultured bacterium. Its description in RNAcentral is "partial 16S ribosomal RNA". It matches the Rfam family "Bacterial small subunit ribosomal RNA", at positions 524 to 776 of the family's 1533-position model. The record is from RNAcentral.
UACAGAGGGUGCUAGCGUUGUUCGGAAUCAUUGGGCGUAAAGGGCGUGUAGGCGGUUUGUUAAGUCAUGUGUGAAAUCCCUCGGCUCAACCGGGGAACGACGCAUGAAACUGGCAAGCUAGAGUACCAAAGAGGGGGGUGGAAUUCCCGGUGUAGCGGUGAAAUGCGUAGAGAUCCGGAGGAACCCCAGAGGCGAAGGCGGCCCCCUGGCUCGUACCUGACGCUCAGCCACGAAAGCAUGGGGAGCGAACGGG